AUUGAACGCUGGCGGCAUGCCUUACACAUGCAAGUCGAACGGCAGCAUGAUCUAGCUUGCUAGAUUGAUGGCGAGUGGCGAACGGGUGAGUAAUACAUCGGAACGUGCCCUGUAGUGGGGGAUAACUAGUCGAAAGAUUAGCUAAUACCGCAUACGACCUGAGGGUGAAAGUGGGGGACCGCAAGGCCUCAUGCUAUAGGAGCGGCCGAUGUCUGAUUAGCUAGUUGGUGAGGUAAAGGCUCACCAAGGCGACGAUCAGUAGCUGGUCUGAGAGGACGAUCAGCCACACUGGGGCUGAGACACGGCCCAGACUCCUACGGGAGGCAGCAGUGGGGAAUUUUGGACAAAGGGCGAAAGCCUGAUCCAGCAAUGCCGCGUGUGUGAAGAAGGCCUUCGGGUUGUAAAGCACUUUUGUCCGGAAAGAAAUGGCUCUGGUUAAUACCUGGGGUCGAUGACGGUACCGGAAGAAUAAGGACCGGCUAACUACGUG
This 490-nucleotide ribosomal RNA is filed under the name uncultured bacterium. Its description in RNAcentral is "partial 16S ribosomal RNA". It matches the Rfam family "Bacterial small subunit ribosomal RNA", at positions 30 to 507 of the family's 1533-position model. The record is from RNAcentral.